CCUACGGGUGGCUGCAGUGAGGAAUAUUGGUCAAUGGGCGUAAGCCUGAACCAGCCAAGUCGCGUGAGGGAUGAAGGUUCUAUGGAUCGUAAACCUCUUUUAUAAGGGAAUAAAGUGUGGGACGUGUCCUAUUUUGUAUGUACCUUAUGAAUAAGGAUCGGCUAACUCCGUUCCAGCAGCUGCGUUAAUACGGAGGAGCCGAGCUUUAUCCGGAUUUAUUGGGUUUAAAGGGUGCGUAGGCGGCCUUUUAAGUCAGCGGUGAAAGUCUGUGGCGCAACCAUAGAAUUGCCGUUGAAACUGGGGGGCUUGAGUAUGUUUGAGGCAGGGGGAAUGCGUGGUGUAGCGGUGAAAUGCUUAGAUAUCACGCAGAACCCCGAUUGCGAAGGCAGCCUGCCAAGCCAUGACUGACGCUGAUGCACGAAAGCGUGGGGAUCAAACAGGAUUAGAUACCCGUGUAGUC
This 460-nucleotide ribosomal RNA is filed under the name uncultured bacterium. RNAcentral's name for it is "partial 16S ribosomal RNA". It matches the Rfam family "Bacterial small subunit ribosomal RNA", at positions 338 to 795 of the family's 1533-position model. The record is from RNAcentral.